CUCCCGUCCUGUCCCCUGUCCUCUCCUUAAAACUCUCCGCCCCACGCCAGCUCUCACCGCACCGCCGCACAACCGCACCGGCAAAGAAACCGAGGCGACACGUGCUCUGCUCCGGGACUCCGAACCAUCCCAUUCGAUCCGUGCACAGCCGUAGAGGAGAGGAGAGGAAAGGAAGACCGACCACCGGCGAUGUAUUUCCGGCCGCCGCCCAAGGGCCCCGAGUGGGGCGGCGACGCGGAGGCCGGGCAGGCGGCGCGGCCGCUGUACCCGAUGAUGCUGGAGAGCCCGCAGCUGCGCUGGGCCUUCGUCCGCAAGGUGUACACCAUCCUCUCCAUCCAGAUGCUGCUCACCAUCGCCGUCGCCUCCGUCGUCGUCUUCGUGCGCCCCGUCGCGCUCUUCUUCGUCUCCUCCCCCGCCGGCUUCGGGCUCUACAUCUUCCUCAUCAUCCUCCCCUUCAUCGUGCUGUGUCCUCUGUACUACUACUACCAGCGGCACCCGGUGAACCUGCUGCUGCUGGCGCUCUUCACGGUGGCCAUCAGCUUCGCGGUGGGGCUCACCUGCGCCUUCACCAAGGGGGAGGUGAUCCUGGAGUCGGCGAUCCUGACGGCGGUGGUGGUGGUGAGCCUGACGGCGUACACGUUCUGGGCGGCGAGGCGCGGGCACGACUUCAGCUUCCUGGGCCCGUUCCUGUUCGCGGCGGUGAUGAUCCUCAUGGUGUUCGCGCUCAUCCAGGCCUUCUUCCCGCUGGGCCGCAUCUCGCUGAUGGUCUACGGCGGGCUGGCGGCGCUCGUCUUCUGCGGCUACAUCAUCUACGACACCGACAACCUCAUCAAGCGCUACUCCUACGACGAGUACGUCUGGGCCGCCGUCGCGCUCUACCUCGACGUCAUCAACCUCUUCCUCUCCCUGCUCACCCUCUUCAGGGCAUCCGAUUCCUGAAGUGCCUGCAUCUCCCGCCGUAGCGUAGCGUAGCCCCUCCUCCUAUCCUACUCUAGUAAUCCUUCCCCUGCCGUUACAUCACGAAUGUGCUUUGCUUGUGUGUGAAACAAUUUAUUGUAAAUUAGUUUUGACUUGUUUUUACAUAAUUUGGUCUAUGUGACUUUGUAGGCUGCCAAUAUCAAGAUUGCUGAAUGGAAUGAAAUUCAGGAGCUGCUGCUGUUAGCUUGGGCUCUGUUUUAGCUGUGCCGCGUCUGCCUCUGGUAAAAUGUUCUGCAUGUUCUCUUGGCAUCCAUCGUCUUAUCUUGAGGCUUGGGCGAGUUGUCGUCGACGCUAGAUGCGGGGUGAGGAAGCCAGGAACAGAAUCAUGUGCUCCUGCGUUCCUGGGCGUGUGCGCUUGGGCCAUCUAGAAUACGAGUAGGUGGGACUGGGCGCCCAUGACUGGUUCCGAUUCUGUCGAGCGAGAUCGAACUACCGUGGGGCAAGUUCAGUACCUGGCAUGUGUCGUUCGUAAAAUACUGUACCAGUAGUAUACGUAGCGCCGGCGAACCAACAUGGAGGAACAGUGGUAUUCCCAGCCCUGGUCUGAAGGAACAGUGGUAUUCCCAGCCCACCAGGGCUUAAGUCCUGGUGUGCUCGCAUUAUUUUUUGAUUUAUUUCAGGAUUUCCGGCGAUGCGCUUUUAGCGGGAGGAUGAUGCUUGCAUUAUUUCUAGAUUUAUUUCAGGAUUUCCGGC
This 1671-nucleotide ribosomal RNA is filed under the name Triticum aestivum (bread wheat). Its description in RNAcentral is "partial small subunit ribosomal RNA". Lineage: Eukaryota; Viridiplantae; Streptophyta; Magnoliopsida; Poales; Poaceae. The record is from RNAcentral.